UACACCUCUGAAAUGUGAUUUUUUUCUUUUCUUAUCUUUAUGUUCUUAUCUUCAGUAGAGCUUUUUCACUUCAGUGGAUUUUGUUCAUCUUGGACAACAAAGCUUAUGUUAGAUCAGCUGAGGCCACUUGGACCUCAGAUUCAGGUACCGUGAAGGAAUGAAUCGCUCUACUAAACCAUCUCCUCCACAUUUAUCCAGCAGGAUUACAGAGAUGUCUGCCAUGCCAAAAAUGAGAGCUGAGCCGAUCAGCAUCUUAACUUUGGAGGGGUUCUGGACACACUGGAACAUGCUUCUGAUUCUUCAGUCAUAAUGACCUCAGCAUCCACCCAAAUGAGGAAGCCUGAUGGCCUCAAGAUGUAGAUGAGAGGCAGAGAAUAUGAUGCUCUGCUCAUAGAGUCCUGCAGCCAGGCUUUGGAAGAAAGCAAUUAAAAUCCCUCCUGCACAGAAAGGUCUUCAGAACUCAAAAUUCCCAAUAAAUCUGUUGCAUCAGUUCACUGAAA
Oryzias melastigma (Indian medaka) is the source of this 500-nucleotide long non-coding RNA. RefSeq lists it as uncharacterized. The transcript is spliced from 2 exons. Lineage: Eukaryota; Metazoa; Chordata; Actinopteri; Beloniformes; Adrianichthyidae. The record is from RefSeq and is a predicted model, not a curated record.